GCCUCGGUAGCGUAGUGGUCAAGACGCUCGCCUGGUAAACAGGAGGGCGUGGGUUCGAUCCCAGCCGAGGCG
RNAcentral lists this transfer RNA (72 nucleotides) under Diaphorina citri (Asian citrus psyllid). It matches the Rfam family "tRNA". From Rfam's summary of the family: Transfer RNA (tRNA) molecules are approximately 80 nucleotides in length. Their secondary structure includes four short double-helical elements and three loops (D, anti-codon, and T loops). The record is from Rfam by way of RNAcentral. Lineage: Eukaryota; Metazoa; Arthropoda; Insecta; Hemiptera; Psyllidae.